Long non-coding RNA from Gasterosteus aculeatus aculeatus (three-spined stickleback), 2284 nucleotides. Lineage: Eukaryota; Metazoa; Chordata; Actinopteri; Perciformes; Gasterosteidae. The record is from Ensembl.
CAACAUGAGGCCCCGGAGGGUCUGACAUCUGAGACGGAGCUCCGGCAGUUACAAAACUACAAUAUAUUCCAAAAGAAAUAUUGAUUCACAUUUGAAUAUUUAUUCGAAAAAGAAAAAAAUAAUAUAUAUAUAUAGAUAUAUUUAAAUAUAUAAAAUAAUAAAUAUAAUAAUAAUAAAUAAAACAUAAUAUAUUAAAUAAUAAAAUAGAAAAGACUCUAUUUAAUGUAUAUAUUAAUUAUGACUAUUUGGGUUAAUCCUCUGAUUAAUGGGGUUUUAAGGGGAACCAUUAAUGCGUUUAUUAUUCUCUUAGAAAAUAAUAUCAGAAACAACUGAUUUUAACUAUUGAUUUAACUUUCAGAGAUUAAACAAAUAAAUCAAAGUAAUAAUAUAAUGAAUCAAAUAAUAAUAUCCUUCUUAGUAAAUACUUUGACUUACUAUGACUUUACUAUGACUGUGUGUGUGUGUGUGUGUGUGUGCGUGUGUGUGUGUGUGCGUGUGUGUGUGCGUGUGUGUGUGUGUGCGUGUGUGUGCGCGUGUGUGUGUGUGUGUGCGUGUGUGUGUGUGUGUGUGUGUGUGUGUGUGUGUGCGUGUGUGUGUGUGUGUGUGUGUGUUUAAAACAGCAGGGGGCAGCAGAGGUUCAAGUUUUCAAAAGCUCCAGAAAGUUCUGUUAGACUCACUGAGGUGAACGUUAAGUGAUGAAGAUGAGGUGAUAAAAGUUAAGUGAUGAAGAUGAGGCGAUGGAGGAGCCUCAAUGCGUCCUUACAUAGCUCCUUUAGCAGAGGAACCACCGGAGCAUCCUUUGCCAAAGGAAAGGAGAUAAUUCCGUCCCACACACUGUAACAGCACAUGAAGGCACCUCAGACGCUUCUCUGUAGCCGCUGCAGACUGACGUCACCAACAUGCGUCUCCGUCCAUCACAACUAGCAGCUCAAGGUCAAGGAAAGGUGGUUAGGAAUAGUGGUUAGGAAUAGACGUUAGGAGGCCACCAAUGUGCUAUUCGGAUCCCGUCCAGACCUUCCAGCAGAGGACGCCGUUUCUCUCUUACGCCUCUGGUGACAUCACUUCCUGCCUGCGGCUCCUCCCAUCCAUCCAGCAGCGACCGGUUUGAGGCUCUUCUCCAUGACGCAAGAGGCCCCUCCAGUGUGUCCACAACAACAAAGAUGAGAGGGGAUUACACGCCAACAACGGCGGAGGAAUGAAGGCUGCGGGCCUCCGUCUGAUGGGUGGAGACGAUGACCUCAUCCGCUCGUCGUGUCUCAACGUCUCCGACUCUCUGCUCACAUUCCUGCAGAGUUGAGUUUCUCUGCAGCAAGAGGGAGAGGAAGAGGGAGAGGAAGAGGGAGAGGAAGGAGAGGAAGAGGAAGGAGAGGAAGAGGAAGGAGAGGAAGAGGAAGGAGAGGGAAAGGAAGGAGAGGAAGAGGAAGGAGAGGAAGAGGAAGGAGAGGGAAAGGAAGAGGGAGAGGAAGGAGAGGAAGGAGAGGAAGAGGAAGGAGAGGAAAAGGAAGAGGGAGAGGAAGAGGGAGAGGAAGGAGAGGAAGAGGAAGGAGAGGGAAAGGAAGAGGCGAGGCAUUAGCAUCCAAACAUUUAAUAUUAGCCAGUAUGAAUAUUUUAUAAUAAUAAUAAAUAAAUUAUACCAAUAAAAAUGAUAAUAACAUUGUGAUAAUAAUUACGUUAUUAUAUCUCUAUCUGUAUCUACUAUCAAGUCAGCUCAGAAAGUACAAUUGAAUCAUUUAAUUAUAUCUUGAUGGUAAUAUCACAACGACCACUUCUACUUCUAAACAAUGAUACAAAUAACAACAAUAACAAUGAUAAUAAUGUGAGGAUUGAUCUGUGUAGAAAUGUUUCAGCUGCUUCCCUUGAUUCCUGCUGAGUGAGCAGAAGAAAACCGACGUUUUACAUUCAUCUUUGUUUCAUAACUAUUUCAUCACAGCAGAAAGUUCCCACAUGUUCAAAUGCUCGGCUGAAUUCCUGUGAUGUGAUGAGGACUAUUGAGUCAGACUUCCUCCUUCUCUCUCCUCUUAUCUUCACAGGGUGGGGAUACCUUCUGAGGACUGAUGGUAGACAUGAGUGUCCUUUUAACCUGUUGACCUGAUAUGUGAAUCUCUUCACUCACGUUGGACCCACUGGAAAUAAAUGAGCUGACGGUAUUUCUUUAUUCUCUGUGGAGACAAUCGUAGUGACUAUGUUUUAAAGCCCUUCAUGCCCACAUGUGAUCCAACAGUGUCAAAAUAAAAGCCCUUCAUGCCCACAUGUGAUCCAACAGUGUCAAAAUAAAAGCCCUUCA